GAAUAUUGGACAAUGGGCGCAAGCCUGAUCCAGCCAUGCCGCGUGUGUGAAGAAGGCCUUCGGGUUGUAAAGCACUUUUGUUGGGGAAGAAAAGAUCGGGGUUAAUAACCUCGGUACAUGACGUUACCCAAAGAAUAAGCACCGGCCAACUUAGUGCCAGCAGCCGCGGUAAUACGAAGGGUGCAAGCGUUACUCGGAAUUACUGGGCGUAAAGCGUGCGUAGGGGGUUUGUUAAGUCUGCCGUGAAAGCCCCGGGCUCAACCUGGGAAUUGCGGUGGAUACUGGCAGGCUAGAGUACGGUAGAGGAUGGUGGAAUUCCCGGUGUAGCAGUGAAAUGCGUAGAGAUCGGGAGGAACAUCUAUGGCGAAGGCAGCCAUCUGGACCAGUACUGACGCUGAGGCACGAAAGCGUGGGGAGCAAACAGG
Molecule: ribosomal RNA, 425 nt
Filed under: uncultured bacterium
Lineage: Bacteria
Description: bacterial SSU rRNA
Rfam family: Bacterial small subunit ribosomal RNA
Source: RNAcentral